This 389-nucleotide ribosomal RNA is filed under the name uncultured bacterium. Its description in RNAcentral is "partial 16S ribosomal RNA". It matches the Rfam family "Bacterial small subunit ribosomal RNA", at positions 523 to 918 of the family's 1533-position model. The record is from RNAcentral.
AUACGUAGGUGGCAAGCGUUGUCCGGAUUUACUGGGUGUAAAGGGCGCGUAGGCGGGAGUGCAAGUCAGGUGUGAAAUCUAUGGGCUCAACCCAUAAACUGCACUUGAAACUGUAUUUCUUGAGUGUCGGAGAGGUAGAUGGAAUUCCUAGUGUAGCGGUGAAAUGCGUAGAUAUUAGGAGGAACACCAGUGGCGAAGGCGAUCUACUGGACGAUAACUGACGCUGAGGCACGAAAGCGUGGGGAGCAAAUAGGAUUAGAUUCCCUAGUAGUCCACGCCGUAAACGAUGAAUACUAAGUGUUGGAGAAAUUCAGUGCUGCAGUUAACGCAAUAAGUAUUCCGCCUGGGGAGUAUGCACGCAAGUGUGAAACUCAAAUGAAUUGACGGGG